CCUACGGGUGGCAGCAGUGAGGAAUAUUGGUCAAUGGACGGAAGUCUUAACCAGCCAUGCCGCGUGCAGGAAGACGGCUCUCUGAGUUGUAAACUGCUUUUGUACAAGGGUAAACCUGAAUACGUGUAUUCAGCUGACCGUACUGUACGAAUAAGGAUCGGCUAACUCCGUGCCAGCAGCCGCGGUAAUACGAAGGAUCCAAGCGUUAUCCGGAUUUAUUGGGGUUAAGGGUUGCGUAGGCGGAUUGAUAAGUUAGAGGUGAAAUGUCCGAGCUUAACUCAGGAACUGCCUCUAAUACUGUUGAUCUAGAGAGUAGAUGCGGUAGGCGGAAUGUAUGGUGUAGCGGUGAAAUGCUUAGAGAUUAUACAGAACAUCGGUGGCGAAGGCAGCUUACCAAUCUAUAUCUGACGUUGAGGCACGAAAGUGUGGGGAGCAAACAGGAUUAGAUACCCCAGUAGUC
RNAcentral lists this ribosomal RNA (460 nucleotides) under uncultured bacterium. Its description in RNAcentral is "partial 16S ribosomal RNA". It matches the Rfam family "Bacterial small subunit ribosomal RNA", at positions 338 to 795 of the family's 1533-position model. The record is from RNAcentral.